This 255-nucleotide ribosomal RNA is filed under the name uncultured bacterium. RNAcentral's name for it is "partial 16S ribosomal RNA". It matches the Rfam family "Bacterial small subunit ribosomal RNA", at positions 524 to 777 of the family's 1533-position model. The record is from RNAcentral.
UACGAAGGGGGCUAGCGUUGCUCGGAAUCACUGGGCGUAAAGGGUGCGUAGGCGGGUCUUUAAGUCAGGGGUGAAAUCCUGGAGCUCAACUCCAGAACUGCCUUUGAUACUGAGGAUCUUGAGUUCGGGAGAGGUGAGUGGAACUGCGAGUGUAGAGGUGAAAUUCGUAGAUAUUCGCAAGAACACCAGUGGCGAAGGCGGCUCACUGGCCCGGUACGUGACGCUGAGGCACGAAAGCGUGGGGAGCAAACAGGG